UUAACUGAAGCCAAAAAGAGGCCUAUCACUGUUAAUGAUAUAAAUGAAUUUAAACUCCGGUUAAA
RNAcentral lists this transfer RNA (65 nucleotides) under Gatzara nigrivena. RNAcentral describes it as "tRNA-Asn". Lineage: Eukaryota; Metazoa; Arthropoda; Insecta; Neuroptera; Myrmeleontidae. The record is from RNAcentral.